GCGGUCAUCGUCCAGUGGUUAGGACUUUGCUCUGUGGCAGCAAAAACGUGAGUUCGAAUCUCACUGAUCGCC
RNAcentral lists this transfer RNA (72 nucleotides) under Minisyncoccota bacterium. Its description in RNAcentral is "tRNA-His". It matches the Rfam family "tRNA". Rfam says of the family: Transfer RNA (tRNA) molecules are approximately 80 nucleotides in length. The record is from RNAcentral. Lineage: Bacteria; Bacillati; Minisyncoccota.